Molecule: ribosomal RNA, 253 nt
Filed under: uncultured bacterium
Lineage: Bacteria
Description: partial 16S ribosomal RNA
Rfam family: Archaeal small subunit ribosomal RNA
Source: RNAcentral
UACCCGCAGCACAAGUGGUGGUCAUUAUUAUUGGGCCUAAAGCGUCCGUAGCUGGUUUGUUAAAUGCCUGGGUAAAUCGAUGCGCUCAACGUAUCGACUUCCGGGUAGACUGGCAAACUCGAGACCGGGAGAGGCGUGAGCUACUCGAGGGGUAGGGGUAAAAUCCUGUAAUCCUUCGGGGAGGACCAGUGGCGAAGGCGUCACGCUAGAACGGCUCUGACAGUGAGGGACGAAGCCCUGGGGCGCAAACCGG